GUGACAGCCGCCGCGGUAAUACAGAGGGUGCGAGCGUUAAUCGGAAUUACUGGGCGUAAAGGGCGCGUAGGCGGUAAGAUGGGUGUGAUGUGAAAGCCCCGGGCUUAACCUGGGAAGUGCAUCGCAAACUACCUCACCGGAGUAUAUGAGAGGGUGGCGGAAUUUCCGGUGUAGCGGUGAAAUGCGUAGAGAUCGGAAGGAACGUCAAUGGUGAAGGCAGCCACCUGGCAUAAUACUGACGCUGAGGCGCGAAAGCGUGGGGAGCGAACAGGAUUAGAUACCCCUGUAGUCC
This 292-nucleotide ribosomal RNA is filed under the name uncultured bacterium. RNAcentral's name for it is "partial 16S ribosomal RNA". It matches the Rfam family "Bacterial small subunit ribosomal RNA", at positions 505 to 796 of the family's 1533-position model. The record is from RNAcentral.